UGACCUCAAAUCAGGUAGGAAUACAAUACGAACUUAA
This 37-nucleotide ribosomal RNA is filed under the name Lentinula edodes (shiitake mushroom). Its description in RNAcentral is "partial 28S ribosomal RNA". The record is from RNAcentral. Lineage: Eukaryota; Fungi; Basidiomycota; Agaricomycetes; Agaricales; Omphalotaceae.